Molecule: unclassified non-coding RNA, 156 nt
Filed under: uncultured Capnodiales
Lineage: Eukaryota; Fungi; Ascomycota; Dothideomycetes; Capnodiales
Description: sequence contains ITS2
Source: RNAcentral
ACACCACUCAAGCCUGGCUUGGUAUUGGGCGAUGUGGCUUGCGGGCCGCCCGCCUCAAAGUCUUCGGCUGGACCGACCGUCUCUCAGCGUUGUGACUUAAUUGGACCGCUGGCGGAGGACGGGAGGUUUCCACGCCGUUAAAACACUUUUUCACAG